Molecule: ribosomal RNA, 259 nt
Filed under: uncultured Synechococcus sp.
Lineage: Bacteria; Bacillati; Cyanobacteriota; Cyanophyceae; Synechococcales; Synechococcaceae
Description: partial 16S ribosomal RNA
Rfam family: Bacterial small subunit ribosomal RNA
Source: RNAcentral
UAACCGUGGCUCAGUUCAGAUCGUAGGCUGCAACUCGCCUACGUGAAGGAGGAAUCGCUAGUAAUCGCAGGUCAGCAUACUGCGGUGAAUACGUUCCCGGGCCUUGUACACUCCGCCCGUCACACCAUGGAAGUUGGCCACGCCCGAAGCCGUUACUCCUACCCUUGUGGAGGAGGACGUCGAAGGUGGGGCUGAUGACUGGGGUGAAGUCGUAACAAGGUAUCCGUACCGGAAGGUGCGGAUGGAUCACCUCCUAACA